CCCCGCUCGACAAGGAAUGGGACCCUCACUGUUGUCCGGAACUGGGCAAUGGAAGGUGACGAGAACUCCAAAGGUUGGGCUGAAGGUGGGAAGUUUUGAGAUGCCCCCACCCUGCCCCUACAGCUGAGACACAAGAAGAAACUGAGGCAGACAGCAGCUAAGUAACUUGAUCAAGGCCACAGCAGGAAGACUUAAUUAAAAUCAGCCACCACAGCAGCAGCUCCUUCUGCCCGCGGGUCCUCUCCCCAUGCUUUAAUAAACCACCAUUUUGCACCAAAGACAUCUCAAGAAUUCUCCCUUGGUCAUCGGCUCCGGACUCCACCCCACUGAACUUCGCCUAUAUCCCAGAACCCCAUCAUAUGGCACCCAAACAUGGGGCUUUGAGUCUUACAUCUGGACUCAGCUUCCAUGGAAAAUUGGACACCACUGGAAACAUUGGUUAUUUUACCAAGGCUUUGACUGGAAUGUCAUAUUUGAGAGAGACAUGCAUAGACUCAGAUGACCCAGCAGCUUUAAGGAACUGAGGUUGACUUUAUGAAACCUGGAGCCAUAAAACCCCUUGGAACUGUUGGCCUGAUACCUUGCUUAGAGUUCCCAGCAGCCUCACCAGUGUCAAGACUUCUUCACCGCCAUAACUUCCAGCUAACAGAUGAUCCUUUCCACUCAAGGAGGUUCAUCGAUGUUGACCGCGUUGGAUUCAGCUGCCUCCCCCUUUUGUAACUCCCUUAUACAUUCCCCAGCUGACCAAUAUUGACCCAUAGGUAGGGACAUCUCUACGCCCCUGUUCAGCAGGAAGACAUUACAGAGGAUGAGACCUUCCACCUUCAACAACCUUAAAGAUUUAAGAGUCAAAUUGUUCAGGGGGGAAUGAUAAGGGAACAGAAGGCAAGCUGAGGACAAAGCAGAAGCUGACACCCCACAACCCACCCCCCUAUGGGAUAUAUAUAUGACAUUCCUCAGGCACUUCUGGCUGCCCUAAAGGAAAAACUAACUUAGAGAGUUUCCCUCAUUAACAAAUGUCUUAGCAAUCUACAAGAACAAAGCAUUUGAUACUAUCAUCAAUAACCUAGCUUCCAGAAGGAAAUGUAGAUACAGUUAAAGACUUUAUAACUUGCAGCCCAUCAACAGAUACUUGAAGUGGGCAGAGUGUAAUGUUCCUGCAGGAAGUUCCCAACUAUCUUCAUGUGUAAUGCCUGACUAGAGGGGUAAACAACCUUAACAAUGGCAAGGCCUCCGGUAUCCUGUGAG
Molecule: long non-coding RNA, 1248 nt
Organism: Zalophus californianus (California sea lion)
Lineage: Eukaryota; Metazoa; Chordata; Mammalia; Carnivora; Otariidae
Exons: 3
Source: RefSeq, a predicted model, not a curated record